RNAcentral lists this ribosomal RNA (369 nucleotides) under uncultured bacterium. Its description in RNAcentral is "bacterial SSU rRNA". It matches the Rfam family "Bacterial small subunit ribosomal RNA", at positions 29 to 414 of the family's 1533-position model. The record is from RNAcentral.
AACGAACGCUGGCGGCAUGCCUAACACAUGCAAGUCGAACGGGAUCCUAGCUUGCUAGGUGAGAGUGGCGGACGGGUGAGUAACACGUGGGAAUCUGCCUUUUUGGUUCGGGAUAACCGCGGGAAACUGCGGCUAAUACCGAAUGCCCUCGAGAGAGGAAAGAUUUUAUCGCCAGAAGAGGAGCCCGCGUCCGAUUAGGUAGUUGGUGGGGUAAAAGCCUACCAAGCCGACGAUCGGUAGCUGGUCUGAGAGGAUGAUCAGCCACACUGGGACUGAGAUACGGCCCAGACUCCUACGGGAGGCAGCAGUGGGGAAUAUUGGACAAAUGGGGGCAACCCUGAUCCAGCAAUGCCGCGUGAGUGAUGAAGG